GGCCUCGUGGCCCAAUGGCAAGGCGUCUGACUACGAGAGGGAUUCAAGAACGAGUCCUUUGUGGCAAUCAGGAGAUUCUGGGUUCGACCCCCAGCGAGGUCA
This is a non-coding RNA of Ustulina deusta, 102 nucleotides long. The record is from the annotation of a GenBank genome assembly. NCBI's taxonomy places the organism in Eukaryota, Fungi, Ascomycota, Sordariomycetes, Xylariales, Xylariaceae.